Molecule: RNA transcript, 1791 nt
Organism: Triticum dicoccoides
Lineage: Eukaryota; Viridiplantae; Streptophyta; Magnoliopsida; Poales; Poaceae
Exons: 4
Source: RefSeq, a predicted model, not a curated record
GCCUCGCCUAUCCAUCCACUGAGAUCUGGGCGUCAAUGGAGUUUCGCCGGCGUUCCGCCCGGCUGCGCGCCGGAGCGGACCGCAUCAGCGCCCUCCCCGACGACCUGCUCCUCCUCGUCCUCGCCCGCCUCCGCUGCGCCCGCGCCGCCGCGCGCACGGGGCUAAUCUCGCGCCGCUGGCGCGGCCUCGCGGCCCGCCUCCGCGAGAUCGUCUUCCGCGGGGUCGCCCUCCACAGGCUCGAAGCCGCGCUCGGCCGCCUGUCUCCCGCGGUCUCGCUCCUCGAGAUCCGCGUCCCCAAGGAGCGCCGCGCCGACACCGCCCGCGGCAAGUUGCUGCUCCGCGUCGGCACCGCCCGCGCCAACUCGCUGCUCCGCGCCGCCGCGCGGCUCGAGCCGGAGGAGCUCGUCUUCGACCUCCCCUCCGAUCUGGUCGACGGCUCCCUCGUCGUCGACCUGCCCUGCCUGCGCCGCGCCACCUCCAUCGCGCUGCGAAUCUUCCUCCUCAUCCUCCGCGUGCCCGACGGCGCCGAAUUCCCGGCGCUAGAGUCACUGUCCCUGUCGUGCGGCAUCGCCCACGCCCACCUCGACGCCCUGCUCCGCCACUGCCCACGCCUGCGCGCGCUCCGGCUCGGCGGCUUCUUGUUCGACCAAGGCGACCUGAGGGUCAACUCGGCGUCGCUGCAGGAGCUGGCCGUGGACCGCGAGAGCGGGCUGACACACCGCGUCGACAUCGUCGCCCCGGCUCUCAAGCAAUUGUCCAUGUCCUUGAUAGCCACAGAGGUCACCAUCUCCGUCUUGGCUCCAAUGGUGGAGAAGGUCUCGUGGCACUGCUGCUACAGGGCAGGGUCUGUUACCUUUGGUCUCUGGGAGCUUGAGCAGGUGACGCUGGAGACAUCAGAGAGGCAAGGACAGCUCGCUUCGCUGCAGAUUCAUGCCUCCAUAUUCCGGUCAAAUUUCCCCGGUGGGGCGAUCAGCUUCACGCAAGAGAUAGCGAAGCAUAUGGUUGCUGCCUUCUCCGCUCUGGAGCUUCAUCUCAAAACAGCCGGGCAUAUUUUUGGAGCAAUUGUGUUUCUUCUCCUUGGAAUGAAUCGAAUUCAUCCAGCUGUGCGCAGGCUUAAGCUCGUCCUAUGGAGAACAAAGGUGAGAGAAGGAUGCCUACCAAAUUGUCCAUGUCAGCCCACUGACUGGAGAUCCCAAACUGUCUCCUUCACUCAUCUUGAAGAAGUGGAAAUCACUGGCUUUAAAGGGGUGGGUCAUGAGUUUGAUUUCUUGAAAUUGAUGCUUGGGUGUUCACCAGUACUUAAAAAAAUGACUUUGAAGCUGUCACGUGAUGUGUGGUCAAGGAAAGAUGGAUGCACGAUAAUAAACGACAUCUUCAAGGAGUAUCCUUCCAUGCAAUGCUAUGUUUAUCUUUCCUAUGGUAAGUGUAUGUUCAGCGUGCUCUGUUAAUCCUUGUAGGUUUUGUUCAAGCCUAAAGCCAAGUUAAGUUGUGCUUGUGCUUUUCAAAUUCUGAACUUAGACAUGCCAAUUACAAAGUCUGGCUGCACGUGUGUAUCCCAGGGUUCAAGCAUGGCUACCAAAAUUAUCAUUGACAUGAUUCUCAUCCUUUCAUCUGCAAAUUCUUUGGUUCGCAUUGGCAAGAUCAUCCUUUCCCAUAUUGGGAAACUCGAUACAUUUUGCGUAGUUUCAGGAGUAAUUUUGCUUGGUUGCUUUAACCGAUGAACGUAAGUGAAUUGUUGAGUGGUUGCCAUGCCAAUCAAUCAUGGAUGUGAUAUAUUGUGUUCGGCCAACC